RNAcentral lists this ribosomal RNA (443 nucleotides) under uncultured Prevotella sp. RNAcentral describes it as "bacterial SSU rRNA". It matches the Rfam family "Bacterial small subunit ribosomal RNA", at positions 355 to 794 of the family's 1533-position model. The record is from RNAcentral. Lineage: Bacteria; Pseudomonadati; Bacteroidota; Bacteroidia; Bacteroidales; Prevotellaceae.
UGAGGAAUAUUGGGUCAAUGGACGCAAGUCUGAACCAGCCAAGUCGCGUGCAGGAAUAAGGCCCUAUGGGUCGCAGACUGCUUUUGCAUGAGAAUAAAAAGUGGGACAAGUCCCACCCUGUAGGUAUCAUGCGAAUAAGGAUCGGCUAACUCCGUGCCAGCAGCCGCGGUAAUACGGAGGAUCCGAGCGUUAUCCGGAUUUAUUGGGUUUAAAGGGAGCGUAGGCCGUCUGUUAAGCGUGUUGUGAAAUGUCGGGGCUCAACCUGGGCAUUGCAGCGCGAACUGGCAGACUUGAGUGCGCAGGAAGUAGGCGGAAUUCGUCGUGUAGCGGUGAAAUGCUUAGAUAUGACGAAGAACUCCGAUUGCGAAGGCAGCCUGCUGUAGCGUAACUGACGCUGAAGCUCGAAAGCGUGGGUAUCGAACAGGAUUAGAUACCCUGGUAGU